This 244-nucleotide ribosomal RNA is filed under the name uncultured bacterium. RNAcentral's name for it is "partial 16S ribosomal RNA". It matches the Rfam family "Bacterial small subunit ribosomal RNA", at positions 89 to 334 of the family's 1533-position model. The record is from RNAcentral.
UGGCGACCGGCGCACGGGUGAGUAACACGUAUCCAACCUGCCGAUAACUCGGGGAUAGCCUUUCGAAAGAAAGAUUAAUAUCCGAUAGCAUAUCAAUCCCGCUUGAGAUUGAUAUUAAAGAAUUUCGGUUAUCGAUGGGGAUGCGUUCCAUUAGUUUGUUGGCGGGGUAACGGCCCACCAAGACUACGAUGGAUAGGGGUUCUGAGAGGAAGGUCCCCCACAUUGGAACUGAGACACGGUCCAA